GACGAACGCUGGCGGCGUGCUUAACACAUGCAAGUCGAACGGAAAGGCCCUGCUUUUGUGGGGUGCUCGAGUGGCGAACGGGUGAGUAACACGUGAGUAACCUGCCCUUGACUUUGGGAUAACUUCAGGAAACUGGGGCUAAUACCGGAUAGGAGCUCCUGCUGCAUGGUGGGGGUUGGAAAGUUUCGGCGGUUGGGGAUGGACUCGCGGCUUAUCAGCUUGUUGGUGGGGUAGUGGCUUACCAAGGCUUUGACGGGUAGCCGGCCUGAGGGGGUGACCGGCCACAUUGGGACUGGGAUACGGCCCGGCCUCCUACGGGGGGCAGCGGUGGGGAAUAUUGCACAAUGGGCGGAAGCCUGAUGCAGCAACGCCGCGUGCGGGAUGACGGCCUUCGGGUUGUAAACCGCUUUCGCCUGUGACGAAGCGUGAGUGACGGUAAUGGGUAAAGAAGCACCGGCUAACUACGUG
RNAcentral lists this ribosomal RNA (468 nucleotides) under uncultured bacterium. RNAcentral describes it as "partial 16S ribosomal RNA". It matches the Rfam family "Bacterial small subunit ribosomal RNA", at positions 28 to 507 of the family's 1533-position model. The record is from RNAcentral.